GUGGGAUUGUGGCUCAAUGGUAGAGCGCAAGACUUGUGCAUGUGAGGCACUGGGUUCGAUCCUCAGCACUACA
Molecule: transfer RNA, 73 nt
Filed under: Marmota monax (woodchuck)
Lineage: Eukaryota; Metazoa; Chordata; Mammalia; Rodentia; Sciuridae
Description: tRNA.Thr
Source: RNAcentral